Molecule: ribosomal RNA, 373 nt
Filed under: uncultured bacterium
Lineage: Bacteria
Description: bacterial SSU rRNA
Rfam family: Bacterial small subunit ribosomal RNA
Source: RNAcentral
GUAGGAGCCUAGCGUUAUCCGAAUUUACUGGGCGUAAAGCGCGUGCAGGCGGCUUCGUAAGUGGAUUGUGAAAUCUCCCGGCUCAACUGGGAGGGGACGGUUCAGACUGCGAAGCUGGAGGCAGGGAGAGGGAGGUGGAAUUCCCGGUGUAGUGGUGAAAUGCGUAGAGAUCGGGAGGAACACCUGUGGCGAAAGCGGCCUCCUGGCCCUGACCUGACGCUGAGAUGCGAAAGCUAGGGGAGCGAACGGGAUUAGAAACCCCGGUAGUCCUAGCCGUAAACGAUGUCGACUGGGCGGCGGUGGGGUAAAAGCCAUCGGUGCCGCAGCUAACGCGAUAAGUCGACCGCCUGGGGACUACGGCCGCAAGGUUAAA